This 253-nucleotide ribosomal RNA is filed under the name uncultured bacterium. Its description in RNAcentral is "partial 16S ribosomal RNA". It matches the Rfam family "Bacterial small subunit ribosomal RNA", at positions 524 to 776 of the family's 1533-position model. The record is from RNAcentral.
UACGUAGGGGGCGAGCGUUGUCCGGAGUUACUGGGCGUAAAGAGCGUGUAGGCGGUUGAAAAAGUCAGGUGUGAAAUUCUUCGGCUCAACCGAGGGACUGCGCCUGAAACUUUUCGACUGGAGUUCGGGAGGGGCAACUGGAAUCCCCGGUGUAACGGUGAAAUGUGUAGAUAUCGGGGGGAACACCUGUGGCGAAGGCGGGUGACUGGACCAAAACUGACGCUGAGACGCGAAAGCGUGGGUAGCAAACAGG